RNAcentral lists this ribosomal RNA (254 nucleotides) under uncultured bacterium. RNAcentral describes it as "partial 16S ribosomal RNA". It matches the Rfam family "Bacterial small subunit ribosomal RNA", at positions 524 to 776 of the family's 1533-position model. The record is from RNAcentral.
UACGUAGGUGGCAAGCGUUGUCCGGAAUUAUUGGGCGUAAAGCGCGCGCAGGCGGUCCUUUAAGUCUGAUGUGAAAGCCCACGGCUCAACCGUGGAGGGUCAUUGGAAACUGGGGGACUUGAGUGCAGGAGAGAAGAGUGGAAUUCCACGUGUAGCGGUGAAAUGCGUAGAGAUGUGGAGGAACACCAGUGGCGAAGGCGACUCUUUGGCCUGUAACUGACGCUGAGUGAGCGAAAGCCAGGGGAGCAAACGGG